This 422-nucleotide ribosomal RNA is filed under the name uncultured Chitinophaga sp. RNAcentral describes it as "bacterial SSU rRNA". It matches the Rfam family "Bacterial small subunit ribosomal RNA", at positions 355 to 774 of the family's 1533-position model. Lineage: Bacteria; Pseudomonadati; Bacteroidota; Chitinophagia; Chitinophagales; Chitinophagaceae. The record is from RNAcentral.
UAAGGAAUAUUGGUCAAUGGACGCAAGUCUGAACCAGCCAUGCCGCGUGAAGGAUGAAGGUCCUCUGGAUUGUAAACUUCGUUUAUGUGGGAAGAAACCACUCUUAUCUAAGGGUGUUGACGGUACCAUAGGAAUAAGCACCGGCUAACUCCGUGCCAGCAGCCGCGGUAAUACGGAGGGUGCAAGCGUUAUCCGGAUUCACUGGGUUUAAAGGGUGCGUAGGCGGGUCAGUAAGUCCGUGGUGAAAUCUCCAAGCUUAACUUGGAAACUGCCGUGGAUACUAUUGACCUUGAAUGUUGUGGAGGUUAGCGGAAUAUGUCAUGUAGCGGUGAAAUGCUUAGAUAUGACAUAGAACACCAAUUGCGAAGGCAGCUGGCUACACAAAUAUUGACGCUGAGGCACGAAAGCGUGGGGAUCAAACA